AUGUAAUAUAUACAUGUAAUGUUUUAUUUUAAAGUAAUCUCCACACCCAACAUGGGGCCUGAACUCACAACCCUAAGACAAAGAGUCACACAUUCCACUGAGUGAGUCAGUCAGGC
Lynx canadensis (Canada lynx) is the source of this 116-nucleotide long non-coding RNA. RefSeq lists it as uncharacterized. The record is from RefSeq and is a predicted model, not a curated record. The transcript is spliced from 3 exons. Lineage: Eukaryota; Metazoa; Chordata; Mammalia; Carnivora; Felidae.